Molecule: non-coding RNA, 31 nt
Filed under: Mus musculus (house mouse)
Lineage: Eukaryota; Metazoa; Chordata; Mammalia; Rodentia; Muridae
Also listed under: 1 other name
Source: RNAcentral
UGGACCUUCUUUCCAAGGCUGUUCUAAAGGC